GAGCGCCGUAUACGAGAACCGUACGUACGGUGCGACGGGAGGGGCGGAAAUUUAUUUCCCCUCUACCCUAU
Tetragenococcus halophilus NBRC 12172 is the source of this 71-nucleotide non-coding RNA. Lineage: Bacteria; Bacillati; Bacillota; Bacilli; Lactobacillales; Enterococcaceae. The record is from Rfam.